RNAcentral lists this ribosomal RNA (459 nucleotides) under uncultured bacterium. RNAcentral's name for it is "partial 16S ribosomal RNA". It matches the Rfam family "Bacterial small subunit ribosomal RNA", at positions 338 to 795 of the family's 1533-position model. The record is from RNAcentral.
CCUACGGGAGGCAGCAGUGAGGAAUAUUGGUCAAUGGCCGAGAGGCUGAACCAGCCAAGUCGCGUGAGGGAAGAAUGUCCUAUGGAUUGUAAACCUCUUUUGUCAGGGAGCAAAGUCACCCACGUGUGGGUGUUGGAGAGUACCUGAAGAAAAAGCAUCGGCUAACUCGGUGCCAGCAGCCGCGGUAAUACGGAGGAUGCGAGCGUUACCCGGUUUUAUUGGGUUUAAGGGGUCCGUAGGGGGAUUGUGAAGCCAGCGGUAAAAUCGUGGGGCUCAACUCCAUCCAGCCGUUGAAACUGAUGAUCUUGAGUGGGCGAGAGGUAUGCGGAAUGCGUGGUGUAGCGGUGAAAUGCAUAGAUAUCACGCAGAACACCGAUGGCGAAGGCAGCAUACCGGCGCCCAACUGACGCUGAGGCACGAAAGCGUGGGUAUCGAACAGGAUUAGAUACCCCAGUAGUC